Molecule: ribosomal RNA, 494 nt
Filed under: uncultured bacterium
Lineage: Bacteria
Description: partial 16S ribosomal RNA
Rfam family: Bacterial small subunit ribosomal RNA
Source: RNAcentral
GACGAACGCUGGCGGCGUGCUUAACACAUGCAAGUCGAACGGAAAGGCCUGCUUUCCCUUGUGGAUUGCGGGUACUCGAGUGGCGAACGGGUGAGUAACACGUGAGUGAUCUGCCCCCAACUUGGGUAUAAGCCUGGGAAACUGGGUCUAAUUCCCGAUAGGACUGCAGGGUGGUGCCUGUGGUGGAAAACGAUUUUCUAGUGGUUGGGGAUGAGCUCGCGGCCUAUCAGCUUGUUGGUGGGGUAAUGGCCUACCAAGGCGGCGACGGGUAGCCGGCCUGAGAGGGUGGACGGCCACAUUGGGACUGAGAUACGGCCCAGACUCCUACGGGAGGCAGCAGUGGGGAAUAUUGCACGAUGGGCGGAAGCCUGAUGCAGCGACGCCGCGUGGGGGAUGACGGCCUUCGGGUUGUAAGCUCCUUUCGACCGCGAGGAAGCCACCUGGUUGGAAGGGUGGUGACGGUAGUGGUAGAAGAAGCACCGGCUAACUACGUG